UUCUGGUGCUCAGAAUAUACAAACCUGGAUAACUAGUAGUCCUUAGAGAAUUGUGAGUGGUAUAUAUUCCGAAGGCAUCAGAUCCCUGAAAUGAAAGGGUUCUGUCAGAAUCAAAUGAGAUACUGAACAUGAUUUUCACAAUUCUGAAGUGCUAGAUAAAGGUCUCACCUCCAGGGGCACACCCCUUACUCAUGGC
Molecule: long non-coding RNA, 196 nt
Organism: Eubalaena glacialis (North Atlantic right whale)
Lineage: Eukaryota; Metazoa; Chordata; Mammalia; Artiodactyla; Balaenidae
Exons: 3
Source: RefSeq, a predicted model, not a curated record